This 828-nucleotide ribosomal RNA is filed under the name Streptomyces coelicolor. RNAcentral describes it as "bacterial SSU rRNA". It matches the Rfam family "Bacterial small subunit ribosomal RNA", at positions 82 to 917 of the family's 1533-position model. The record is from RNAcentral. Lineage: Bacteria; Bacillati; Actinomycetota; Actinomycetes; Kitasatosporales; Streptomycetaceae.
UCGGUGGGGAUUAGUGGCGAACGGGUGAGUAACACGUGGGCAAUCUGCCCUGCACUCUGGGACAAGCCCUGGAAACGGGGUCUAAUACCGGAUACUGACCCUCGCAGGCAUCUGCGAGGUUCGAAAGCUCCGGCGGUGCAGGAUGAGCCCGCGGCCUAUCAGCUUGUUGGUGAGGUAAUGGCUCACCAAGGCGACGACGGGUAGCCGGCCUGAGAGGGCGACCGGCCACACUGGGACUGAGACACGGCCCAGACUCCUACGGGAGGCAGCAGUGGGGAAUAUUGCACAAUGGGCGAAAGCCUGAUGCAGCGACGCCGCGUGAGGGAUGACGGCCUUCGGGUUGUAAACCUCUUUCAGCAGGGAAGAAGCGAAAGUGACGGUACCUGCAGAAGAAGCGCCGGCUAACUACGUGCCAGCAGCCGCGGUAAUACGUAGGGCGCAAGCGUUGUCCGGAAUUAUUGGGCGUAAAGAGCUCGUAGGCGGCUUGUCACGUCGGUUGUGAAAGCCCGGGGCUUAACCCCGGGUCUGCAGUCGAUACGGGCAGGCUAGAGUUCGGUAGGGGAGAUCGGAAUUCCUGGUGUAGCGGUGAAAUGCGCAGAUAUCAAGGAGGAACACCGGGUGGCGAAGGCGGAUCUCUGGGCCGAUACUGACGCUGAGGAGCGAAAGCGUGGGGGAGCGAACAGGAUUAUAUACCCUGGUAGUCCACGCCGUAAACGGUGGGCACUAGGUGUGGGCAACAUUCCACGUUGUCCGUGCCGCAGCUAACGCAUUAAGUGCCCCGCCUGGGGGAGUACGGCCGCAAGGCUAAAACUCAAAGGAAUUGACGGG